Molecule: ribosomal RNA, 484 nt
Filed under: uncultured bacterium
Lineage: Bacteria
Description: partial 16S ribosomal RNA
Rfam family: Bacterial small subunit ribosomal RNA
Source: RNAcentral
AUUGAACGCUGGCGGCAUGCCUUACACAUGCAAGUCGAACGGCUGCAUGGCCCUUCCUGCUGGAUUCAUCGCCAGUCGGGUGAGUAAUGCUUAUGCAUCUGCCUGUUCGUGUUGGUUAAGGUUCGGAUACCGGCACUUAUACCGCUUCCGUCUUUUCUCUGAAGGUGAGGGCUGUUCGCCUCUCGGCCUUUCGGUUGAGCCUAGGUCGGAUUAGCUAGUUGGUGGGGUAAAGGCCUACCAAGGCGACGAUCCGUAACUGGUCUGAGAGGAUGAUCAGUCACACUGGAACUGAGACACGGUCCAGACUCCUACGGGAGGCAGCAGUGGGGAAUAUUGGACAAUGGGCGAAAGCCUGAUCCAGCCAUGCCGCGUGUGUGAAGAAGGUCUUCGGAUUGUAAAGCACUUUAAGUUGGGAAGAAGGGCAGUAAGUUAAUACCUGGCUGGUUUGACGGUACCAACAGAAGAAGCACCGGCUAACUUCGUG